Rattus norvegicus (Norway rat) is the source of this 2088-nucleotide non-coding RNA. The record is from RefSeq and is a predicted model, not a curated record. Lineage: Eukaryota; Metazoa; Chordata; Mammalia; Rodentia; Muridae.
CGCCUGCGCAGCUCUCACGAUGGGGCGUGGCUUACUUUCAGGUGCUAGUCUUAAGACUCAGCAGCAGUCCCAGGCGCCAUCUUGGGAUUGCCGCUACACCCGCUCCCCACAGGAAGCCUCUGAAGGAAUGGUUUGGCUAACACUACCUGCAUUCUAGAAGGAAAAACAGCUUUAAAAGAAGCCGGACAGGAUGCCAGUGUGAAAGAAAAAACAGAAUGAUUCCAGAAAAAUAAGAAUUGAAAGAAGACUAGUGUUGGCUGAUUUCAGCUCUGUCAGCCCUGGCUUCUCUCUCAGGAAUGUCAAGAUACAGAAUUUUGGGAAUUGAUGCACAACUUCCAAACAAGCAAGCAAGGAUGUAACCCAUCAGAAUUCGCAAACCAAUCCAUUUAACCCAGGAGGUGAAGGGAAGAAUGGCCACCUGACAAAGGAGUGCAAUGAGAUGUGAGACAUUUAUGGCAAGUUUGAAUUUUCUCUUUAAAGGGAAUCUGGAUAUAUAUCCCAUGAAAAAGCAGGAGGGAACAUAGAUAAACAACAUUAUUAGUCUACAGCCUGCAUCAGUCUUAUCUUUAGUAAUCUUCUGAGGUCCCCCAUGCCCUGUGAGUGAUGUAUCCAGGUACAGACUGUCUCUCCCCUGAUAGCAGUAGGGGGUGUUCAGGAUGAUGUGGUGUGGUCCAUUCCACACCAUGGGUGGGCCCCAUUUUCUUUGGAGCAACCAUUCCAGCCUUGAGUUGAGAUAAAAGCAAAGUACUCUCUUCUGUAACCACUUCUCAGCUGAAAUUAGUAUGCUGGCUUCAGGAUCCAUCAAGGCUAGAAUAUUUGUCAUAGGGCAAAGGUUAGGGUUUCAGGUAGUGUAGCGCAUUCAUCAAAAGCAUCUGAUUUUCUGACCCAGCUGACGAGUCAGGCAGCAAUCACAUCAGCUGGACUGAUUCACAUCAGCUGGACUGGCUCACAUCUGCUUUCUGCAAAUCUAAGGUUCAUAGCCAUUUGGAGCAGUUUGGAGUUCACAGAUGAUUCCUGGAUACUGUCUGUCAGCAGAGUGGAAAUCUGCUGGGACAGAUAUAGACUAGAGACAGAAGUGAAAAUUUAAGAACUUAAAAGAAAAUAUUACAUUUAGAACUUCCUCAGGAAUAAGGAGUAGGUGGGGAAGCUUAGGCUAUUGAUUGCAAGAGUCCUUAAAUGGAUUCCAUUUGACCUGUGACAGAUGGAUCCAAGUCAUAACUAAAGCUUACAUGAAUUAAAAGUUUACAAAAGAGACAAAAUUUUAAAUAUGUUAUCAUUAACACUGUUUGUAAUCUGUGCAGAAAUCCACAUUGAAGAAAAAGCAGAAGACCCGCUCCAAUGGGUCAUAAUAAAAUUUUGGGGCCCAAAAAUGUAUUUGGGGUUAAAAGCAUUAACUAACUUUCCUCUGUCCAGAGGGGUAGAUAUAUACACGUUGAACAGUGAUGUUUUUAACAAGAAGCACCUUUUUCUGUUGUCUUAGUUCUUUUCAAAACCUACUUUAAUAAGAGUUCUUAAAUGCUUUAACUUCCCUUCUAGCCUAGUACACACCAGAGGUUGUGUAAAAGAAAGAUUACUAGAACAUGGGGGAAGUGAAACUGUUUAGAAAUAGUUCUUUGGGAUGAUUCCAAUAUUUGUUGUCAGGAUAUCAGCGGUUCAGUCUGCUAGUAAACCACCAAACACAAAUCAGAAUUUUCAGUCCAGCCUACUCAACAGACCCCAUGCACGAAUCAGCAGAGCAGAUCAAUCCAGAAUAAUCCUCCAGAUUGGUGCAAGUCCAUGCAAGUAGCAAGAGGCUGCCAGAACAUCACAAGAAGCUGUCGGACCCCAAGCCCAUUGAAUGGUGCUGCCUGUAUUCUCAAUGAGGCUUUCCAUCUCCAUUGGCCCCAACUAGAAAAUCUCUCAUAGACUUGAGAGCUCUGAGGAAGCUGAGCACAGUUCUAAGUCACCGGAAUACAGCAAGAUGCUAAGGCAAGAAUAUUCAUCAACCAGAGAUGUUGACAAGUAAUGUACAAUUUGUGUGUGGGCUGUCUGUUCUGAUUUACACCACAACCUCUUUUCUACUCCACAGUAAAACUCACAGACAACAGA